AUGUUCGCCUCCGCCCCCGCGGGUUCGCUCCACCUCUCCCACCCGGCGUUCGGCGCCAGGCGCCCAAGGCUCGCGCGCUGCAGGUCCUCCCUGUCGUCGUCGGGCGCGGCGCCCCCGCCGGCCAAUGCCAACCACCUCAUCCAGACGCUCUGCGCCAGCGGCCGCCUCUCCCGCGCCGCCGCGCUCCUCCAGGGCCUCCCCGCCCCCACGCAGCGCACCUACGAGUCGCUCCUCCAGGCCGCCGCCAGGGCCGGGGACGCCGCGCUCGCCGCGGCCGUCCACCGCCGGCUCGAGGCCGACCCGGUCUUCCGCUCCGACCCGUUCCUCUCCACCCGCCUCAUCGACGCCUACGCUGCGCUCGGCGCGCUCCCGGCCGCGCGCCAGGUGUUCGACGAGGCGCCCGACAAGAACAUCUUCGUGUGGAACGCGCUGCUCAAGGCCCUCGCGCUCGCCGACCAUGGCGACGAGGCGCUCGCGCGCUUGGCCGACAUGGGGCGACUCGGCGUUCCCGUUGACAGCUACAGCUACACGCUCGGGCUCAAGGCCUGCAUCGCCGCGUCGGCGUCGCACGCACCGGCCUCCGCCCGUGUACGCGAGGUACACGCACAUGCCAUCCGCCGUGGCUACGCAUUGCACAUGCAUGUCGCCACUACUCUUAUUGACUGCUAUGCAAAGCUUGGGAUCGUCGGCUAUGCUGAGAAUGUGUUUGCUGCAAUGCCAGAGAGGAACGUUGUUUCCUGGAGUGCCAUGAUUGCGUGCUAUGCCAAGAAUGAGAGACCUGCUGAUGCCAUUGAGCUGUUCAAGGAUAUGCUGGCUUCUGAUGCAGACCUGGUGCCUAACUCAAUCACAAUAGUAAGUGUCUUGAAUGCGUGCGCGGGAGUAAACGCACUCGGUCACGGCAAACUAUUGCAUGCCUAUAUUCUUCGGAGGGGUUUCGACUCACUUGUUUCUGUACUGAAUGCACUGAUGGCAAUGUACAUGAGAUGUGGAUGCCUUGAAGUUGGCCGGCAUAUUUUCAAUUGGAUAGGACGCCGGAGGGAUGUUGUGUCGUGGAAUUCACUUAUAUCUGGAUAUGGGAUGCAUGGCUUUGGCCGUGAGGCGAUUCAGGUGUUUGAGAAAAUGGUUCAAGUUGGGUUAUCACCGAGUAUCAUAACAUUUAUCAGUGUUCUUGGGGCUUGUAGCCAUGCCGGACUUGUGGAUGAGGGGAAGAAGUUGUUUGAGUCGAUGACGGAUUAUAGUGUCAAACCCCGUGCAGAGCACUAUGCUUGCAUGGUAGACCUCCUUGGUCGUGCUGGGCAGUUGGAUGAAGCAGUGGAGCUCAUACAGAGCAUGCACAUUGAGCCGAGUCCUCAAGUGUGGGGUGCACUGCUUGGAGCUUGCCGUAUUCAUGGCCAUGUGGAGUACGCAGAGAUGGCUUGCUCUCGUCUCUUCGAUCUUGAACCCAGAAAUGCCGGCAACUAUGUACUACUUGCUGAUAUUUAUUCUCGAGCUAAACUGCAAGACCAAGUUGCCGUGCUAAAGGAGCUGCUUGAGGAGCAUGGGCUAGAGAAGGUGCCGGGGUGCAGCUGGAUGGAGGUGAACAAGAAGAUAUACUCUUUCACAUCUGUGGACAACAAGAACCCCCCGGUUGAGCAGCUUCAAGCUCUGAUAGGUGAGUUUGUGGCACAGAUGAAAAAUGAGGGCUAUGUCCCUGACACAGAGAUAGUCAUGUAUGACAUUGAAGAAGAAGAAAAGGAAAGGAUCUUGCUUGGUCACAGUGAGAAGCUGGCAGUUGCAUUUGGGCUUAUCAACACUCACAGCGGUGAAGUAAUCAGGAUCACCAAGAACCUGAGGCUAUGUGAGGACUGUCAUUCAGUCACCAAGUUCAUCUCCAGAUUCACAGAGCGCGAAAUCGUUGUGAAGGAUGUGAAUCGGUUUCAUCACUUCAGGGAUGGAAUUUGUUCGUGUGGCGAUUAUUGGUGA
RNAcentral lists this ribosomal RNA (1962 nucleotides) under Triticum aestivum (bread wheat). RNAcentral's name for it is "partial small subunit ribosomal RNA". Lineage: Eukaryota; Viridiplantae; Streptophyta; Magnoliopsida; Poales; Poaceae. The record is from RNAcentral.